AACAAUCAACAAUAUAAUCAUUUAUACAAGAAAAUGAUGCAUAAGCCCUACCAAUUCAAGGUAUACUUUAUAUUGAAGAAUCCUUCAUAUUCUAUCAUCAACAUUCAUGAGUGUCAAAUUGAGAAAUAAUCUUUCAAUAGCAACACCUUUACGUUCAUAACACGAUCACAUUAUCUUCAUUGAAUUCUCAUUCAUAUAAUGUCAUGAUAACACUCCAAUUUCUCAUACUAUGCCUUUAAGGCCCUAAGCCUCACAUACCAAUACACCAACAAUACAC
Molecule: long non-coding RNA, 277 nt
Filed under: Solanum tuberosum (potato)
Lineage: Eukaryota; Viridiplantae; Streptophyta; Magnoliopsida; Solanales; Solanaceae
Description: long non-coding RNA (STUB_LNC001567)
Source: RNAcentral